This 444-nucleotide ribosomal RNA is filed under the name uncultured bacterium. Its description in RNAcentral is "bacterial SSU rRNA". It matches the Rfam family "Bacterial small subunit ribosomal RNA", at positions 62 to 507 of the family's 1533-position model. The record is from RNAcentral.
UCGAACGGUAGAGGGGGCAACCCUUGAGAGUGGCGAACGGUGAGUAAUAUAUCGGAACGUGCCCAGUCGUGGGGGAUAACGUAGCGAAGUUACGCUAAUACCGCAUACGAUCUAAGGAUGAAAGCGGGGGGAUCGCAAGACCUCGCGCGAUUGGAGCGGCCGAUAUCAGAUUAGGUAGUUGGUGGGGUAAAGGCUCACCAAGCCAACGAUCUGUAGCUGGUCUGAAAGGACGACCAGCCACACUGGAACUGAGACACGGUCCAGACUCCUACGGGAGGCAGCAGUGGGGAAUUUUGGACAAUGGACGCAAGUCUGAUCCAGCCAUUCCGCGUGCAGGAUGAAGGCCCUCGGGUUGUAAACUGCUUUUGUACGGAACGAAAAGGUUUCUCUUAAUACGAGGAGCUCAUGACGGUACCGUAAGAAUAAGCACCGGCUAACUACGUG